ACUAUUUGUAUUUAGAUAGUACUAAUGGCUCUUCUGGUGAUAUAUCAUAUAUACAAAGUCCUGUUUUAAAAGUAGUUUCUGAGACGUGCCUUUCAUUCUGGUAUAACAUGUAUGGUGAUGAAAUGGGGCGAUUAAAUGUGACUGCUAAUGGAAAACUUGUUUGGACGCAUUAUGGUGACCAUGGUGACACAUGGAUUAACAAAUUGAUAAAUAUUGAUCUAAUGGAAAACCUUACGAUUGAGUUUAUUGGUAUAUUUGGAACCGGUUAUGAAUGUGACAUUGCAUUGGAUGACAUAGCAUUAACACCGGGAUCAUGCUCAGGAGUAAAUACAGAUGCACAAACAUGCGCUAAUCUGAAUAGAAUUACAAAUUUGGAAACCUGUCCAAAAGAGUAUUUAUAUACGGAAGAUAUUAAUUUAUCAUUUGAACCUGAUAAAAAGAUGUGUUCUGGAUACAGUGACAGGAUCACAGAAUCAUUUCUCCACAAUUGUACUACCUUGAACAAUAAAUCAAGUUGUGAACUUAAUUUGUCAGAGUACGUUCAACGUUUUCCUAUAUGUUUUCGGCUUCAUGAUUUGCUGAUACAGUAUAAAUGUGAAGUUGAAGAAACAACAGUUCCUUUACUGUCUACAUCAGAAGCCCUAUCGGAAGAAACUAGCACUGAACCAAUUGCAUCAAAAGUAAAGAAGAAAUCCGAGAAUUUAAAUUACACAGGUAAAGGAAAAUGAUUACUUGUAUUUUGUCGUUAAAAGAGAGGUGAACCAAUUGCAUCAAAAGUAUAGAAGAAAUCCGAGAAUUUAAAUUACACAGGUCUGGUUGUUGGACUAGUCAUGGGUUCGUUAGUGCUUGUGUUGAUUGUAGUUGUGAUAGCUAUUUUCAUCAGGAGAUUUUCAUCCGUAAAGAACAAAUUAGAAAAGGUUGACAGACUUCAAGGAAAUGACUAUAUUGGUCAGCAAAAUAUAGCUAUGCCACAGUCUUUAGGUCCAACUGAGCAUUUGCAAUACAAAGAUAUACAAUCUGAAAGAAAUAAUAGGAAUCAUGGCUAUGUGAAUGCUGGUACACCUAUUCAAAAUAACGAUUCCCAGUAUAAUUAUUCCAAUAUAACUACGACAAACUCUAAUGUGAAUAAGAGCGUAAAGGACAAUGAUCUUACAAAUGUUGCACUUCAGGAAGAUGUACCCCGAGCUAAAUAUGUAAUGAAUGACGAUGAGUAUGCAAUUGUCGAUCCAACAGCAAAAACAAGCAUUUAUCUUUCCAAAGAAGAUAAAACCAUGGCUACAGAAAAUUAUAUGGUUUUAGAUCCCAACGAAAUGGGUUUUGACAGGUCAAAUUUUUCCCACAAAAACCAACCUUAUGAGCUUGCUAAGCCAGUCAGUGACAAGUAUACAGAUGACGAAAAUGAUCGGUAUGCUGUGUCUCAAGAAGGAACGUACGACUAUUCUGGAAGUAACCGUCUAAAUGAAUUAGAGGAUAACAUUUAUAACCAUGCUGUCGAUGAUGUUUAUGAUUCUGGAAGUCUCAAAAGAACAAAUGAAGGGAAAGAUGACACAUAUGAUCAUUUCUUUGGACACACAACGGAGGAUGACUAUGAUAUAUCAAGAAAGACCUGAGCUGGUUCAUGAAAUAUUAUCUGUUUUGUACAAUUAAGUUAUCAGUUUGAUUUUGUUUCAUUUGACCUAAUGCAGUUUAUAGCAAAAUUCUAUUCACAGUUAAGUAAGUGCUGAUCAAUUGAGGGCAAUAUAUCUAAUUUAAACUAUAUUUGUUUUCAUAUUUGUAUUUCAAUAUGUAUUUAACCAAUUGUUGGGAGAGAUAUUUUUCUUUAUUCGUUUUCUACAUGUGUCAUUAUAGAAUUGUCAUUUUAAAAACAACUAAAUAUGGCAACAUUGUGCCAUUUUUUUAUUGCUUUGUUUCUAAGUUUACAUUUUAUUUAUCAUACAAUCCUUUUCGUGCAGAUUUGUAUAUAAAACAGAAGAUUUUAUUUUAUUGAACACCUUCACGUAAAUGUAAGACAUAAUAUAAAACUGAUAGGCAGUAUAUUUCCUGGUACUAUAAAAUCACUUUCAGUUUUGUCAAUCAAAAAAACAAGAGCAUACUGAUGUACACGUGAAAAUCUGAAACAACGAAGCGUCACGUAUGCGUACGAUUCCUUUUCCGAUACAUGACCCUCUGAGUAUCUUCACAAAGCGCAAUUACACAUUGUCAUUUAAGUCAAAACCCUACGCCGCUUUCAAAUGUCUUCAACUGUUUCGGUUGUUAUACAACAUUACCUUUUAAAUAUUCGGCUUUGGGCGUUUCUGACGAAUCUAGAAAGAGCUUUGGAAGCAAGAAAUUUAUAAAGUGCUGUUUUCGGAUUUUUUUCAACGUAUUUUUUUUAAAAACAAUUAUCACACACCGACAAGUUUCAAAAAUGUUACUUGUACAUGUAUACACUAGUGGGUUAAUAAGUAGAAAUUCCAAAAUUCCAAGAUAAAACUCAUUUAUCAGAUAAAUUUAAAUACAAUACAUUAUUAUAUAUUAAUAUAGUGAAUGGCUUCACCGAAUUCAUACAUCAACCAAUCAACACAAGAAGCGUAUUCAUAUAUGGUCUCUAACAAAAAAUAAUUUCUAUCAAUGUCAAACAUAAAAUCGGCCCCGAAUUGACCCCUCCCCUUGUUAAUUCCUAUCAAUAAAAAAGCAACAGGUAUACACAAAAUUUUACAAUUCAAACCAGUACUAAAAAGCAUUUCACUUUAUAAUUCCGGAAUAUAAUAUAACAAAAUACUAGUUCAAACAUGACAAUGUAUAAACCAUUCAGACUCCAAAUAACAACGACAAGUAUUUGUGAAAUUUGUUCGCAGAAAAGUUAACUUUAAGAAUAACUAUAUAUACGAGUAUUUAGAAUAGUUUGAUGUAACUUACCUGGGAUCGAUAACUCAUCGAAACAAUUUUGUUUUUCCACUAACAUGUCGUAGCGUGAAUAUCUAUACACAGUUUACUGCAUAUAUGUACCAGUAUUAUAUCUUACAUUCAAAAGUGUUUAAUCAUUUAACUCUUAUAAGUGCUUUCAAAAUGUUCUACAAUAAUCUAAUAACAUUGUUUUGUUGCGGAAAAAAAACCAGUCAAUUGGAUUGUUGAUUUUAAGGCAAUUGGACUAAUUAAAAGCAAACUGUUAUGUAA
RNA transcript from Mytilus californianus (California mussel), 3156 nucleotides. RefSeq lists it as uncharacterized. The record is from RefSeq and is a predicted model, not a curated record. NCBI's taxonomy places the organism in Eukaryota, Metazoa, Mollusca, Bivalvia, Mytilida, Mytilidae. The transcript is spliced from 6 exons.